RNAcentral lists this ribosomal RNA (276 nucleotides) under uncultured bacterium. Its description in RNAcentral is "partial 16S ribosomal RNA". It matches the Rfam family "Bacterial small subunit ribosomal RNA", at positions 28 to 304 of the family's 1533-position model. The record is from RNAcentral.
GAUAAACGCUGGCGGCGUGCAUGAGACAUGUAAGUCGAACGGAGGACUCGGGCUUGCUCGAGUCCUUAGUGGCGGACGGCUGAGUAACGCGUAGGUGACUUGCCCCGAAGUGGGGAAUAACUGCCCGAAAGGGUGGCUAAUACCGCAUGUGUUCGUACGUUCAUUCGUACGAGGAAAGCCGUGAGGCGCUUCGGGAGAGGCCUGCGUACGAUUAGCUCGUUGGGUGGGGUAACGGCUCACCAAGGCGACGAUCGUUAGGUGGUCUGAGAGGACGAU